Molecule: transfer RNA, 77 nt
Filed under: Rickettsiales bacterium
Lineage: Bacteria; Pseudomonadati; Pseudomonadota; Alphaproteobacteria; Rickettsiales
Description: tRNA-Arg
Rfam family: tRNA
About the family: Transfer RNA (tRNA) molecules are approximately 80 nucleotides in length. Their secondary structure includes four short double-helical elements and three loops (D, anti-codon, and T loops).
Source: RNAcentral
GCCCUCGUAGCUCAACUGGAUAGAGCGCUGGACUUCUAAUCCAAAGGUUGCAGGUUCAAGUCCUGCCGAGGGCGCCA